AGCACUUCAUGUCUUGUUUCACCUCUCCACUGGUGUAGACUCCAUGCAAGUGCUGAUAUCAAACCUUCUCUUGCAACCCACAAUGAAUUGUCUUGUAUGAAUUGUGUUACUUACGGGAAGGGACAAC
This is a small nucleolar RNA of Leptobrachium leishanense (Leishan spiny toad), 127 nucleotides long. Lineage: Eukaryota; Metazoa; Chordata; Amphibia; Anura; Megophryidae. The record is from Ensembl.